GUUGGUGAGGUAAAGGCUUACCAAGGCGACGAUCAGUAGCUGGUCUGAGAGGACGACCAGCCACACUGGGACUGAGACACGGCCCAGACUCCUACGGGAGGCAGCAGUGGGGAAUUUUGGACAAUGGGCGCAAGCCUGAUCCAGCCAUGCCGCGUGAGUGAAGAAGGCCUUCGGGUUGUAAAGCUCUUUCAGUCGAGAAGAAAAGGUUGUGACUAAUAAUUGCAACUCAUGACGGUAUCGACAGAAGAAGCACCGGCUAACUACGUGCCAGCAGCCGCGGUAAUACGUAGGGUG
This 294-nucleotide ribosomal RNA is filed under the name uncultured Nitrosomonas sp. Its description in RNAcentral is "partial 16S ribosomal RNA". It matches the Rfam family "Bacterial small subunit ribosomal RNA", at positions 248 to 534 of the family's 1533-position model. Lineage: Bacteria; Pseudomonadati; Pseudomonadota; Betaproteobacteria; Nitrosomonadales; Nitrosomonadaceae. The record is from RNAcentral.